GACGAACGCUGGCGGCGUGCCUAACACAUGCAAGUCGAGCGAUGAAACCUUUCGGGGUGGAUUAGCGGCGGACGGGUGAGUAACACGUGGGUAACCUGCCUCAAAGAGGGGAAUAGCCUCCCGAAAGGGAGAUUAAUACCGCAUAAUAUGUUUUGGUCGCAUGACCGAGAUAUCAAAGGAAAUUCUUCGGAAGUUCCACUUUGAGAUGGACCCCGCGGCGCAUUAGCUAGUUGGUGAGGUAACGGCUCACCAAGGCGACGAUGCGUAGCCGACCUGAGAGGGUGAUCGGCCACAUUGGAACUGAGACACGGUCCAGACUCCUACGGGAGGCAG
RNAcentral lists this ribosomal RNA (333 nucleotides) under uncultured bacterium. RNAcentral's name for it is "bacterial SSU rRNA". It matches the Rfam family "Bacterial small subunit ribosomal RNA", at positions 28 to 351 of the family's 1533-position model. The record is from RNAcentral.